CCGGGGAGCCGGGCAGCCGCGGGGUCCUUUCAGGAUCGCGAGGAAAGUCCGGGCUCCACGAAACAAGGGUGGCGGGUAACGCCCGCCGGGCGAGCGCGGUUUUCAGGCCGUGCGAAGCCUAGGGAAAGUGCCACAGAGAGCAGACCGCCGAUGUCCUUUGCGGAACAGGUAAGGGUGAAAGGGUGCGGUAAGAGCGCACCGCGCUGCCGGUAACGGUAAGCGGCAUGGUAAACCCCACCCGGAGCAAGACCGAAUAGGGGCUACGCGCCGGCGCUCGUGCAAACGGGUAAGAUCGGCGGGUUCGUUUCGAACCCAGGUAGCCCGGGUUGGUCGCUUGAGCGGGGCAGCAAUGCGUCGCCUAGAGGAAUGGCUGCCGCCGCGGCGUAAGGUCCCUCGCUUGGGAGACCACGCCAGGUACAGAACCCGGCUUACAGGCUCCCCGGCGCA
Molecule: RNase P RNA, 447 nt
Filed under: Novosphingobium sp. Leaf2
Lineage: Bacteria; Pseudomonadati; Pseudomonadota; Alphaproteobacteria; Sphingomonadales; Sphingomonadaceae
Description: Bacterial RNase P class A
Rfam family: Bacterial RNase P class A
About the family: Ribonuclease P (RNase P) is a ubiquitous endoribonuclease, found in archaea, bacteria and eukarya as well as chloroplasts and mitochondria. Its best characterised activity is the generation of mature 5'-ends of tRNAs by cleaving the 5'-leader elements of precursor-tRNAs.
Source: Rfam by way of RNAcentral